This 630-nucleotide ribosomal RNA is filed under the name Salmonella enterica subsp. enterica serovar Heidelberg. Its description in RNAcentral is "bacterial SSU rRNA". It matches the Rfam family "Bacterial small subunit ribosomal RNA", at positions 1 to 620 of the family's 1533-position model. The record is from RNAcentral. Lineage: Bacteria; Pseudomonadati; Pseudomonadota; Gammaproteobacteria; Enterobacterales; Enterobacteriaceae.
AAAUUGAAGAGUUUGAUCAUGGCUCAGAUUGAACGCUGGCGGCAGGCCUAACACAUGCAAGUCGAACGGUAACAGGAAGCAGCUUGCUGCUUUGCUGACGAGUGGCGGACGGGUGAGUAAUGUCUGGGAAACUGCCUGAUGGAGGGGGAUAACUACUGGAAACGGUGGCUAAUACCGCAUAACGUCGCAAGACCAAAGAGGGGGACCUUCGGGCCUCUUGCCAUCAGAUGUGCCCAGAUGGGAUUAGCUUGUUGGUGAGGUAACGGCUCACCAAGGCGACGAUCCCUAGCUGGUCUGAGAGGAUGACCAGCCACACUGGAACUGAGACACGGUCCAGACUCCUACGGGAGGCAGCAGUGGGGAAUAUUGCACAAUGGGCGCAAGCCUGAUGCAGCCAUGCCGCGUGUAUGAAGAAGGCCUUCGGGUUGUAAAGUACUUUCAGCGGGGAGGAAGGGAGUAAGGUUAAUAACCUUAUUCAUUGACGUUACCCGCAGAAGAAGCACCGGCUAACUCCGUGCCAGCAGCCGCGGUAAUACGGAGGGUGCAAGCGUUAAUCGGAAUUACUGGGCGUAAAGCGCACGCAGGCGGUCUGUCAAGUCGGAUGUGAAAUCCCCGGGCUCAACCUGGGAA